This 439-nucleotide ribosomal RNA is filed under the name uncultured bacterium. Its description in RNAcentral is "partial 16S ribosomal RNA". It matches the Rfam family "Bacterial small subunit ribosomal RNA", at positions 339 to 795 of the family's 1533-position model. The record is from RNAcentral.
CUACGGGGUGCUGCAGUGGGGAAUAUUGGACAAUGGGCGCAAGCCUGAUCCAGCCAUGCCGCGUGAGUGAAGAAGGCCUUAGGGUCGUAAAGCUCUUUCGCCAGAGAUGAUAAUGACAGUAUCUGGUAAAGAAACCCCGGCUAACUCCGUGCCAGCAGCCGCGGUAAUACGGAGGGGGUUAGCGUUGUUCGGAAUUACUGGGCGUAAAGCGCGCGUAGGCGGAUUAGUCAGUCAGAGGUGAAAUCCCAGGGCUCAACCCUGGAACUGCCUUUGAUACUGCUAGUCUUGAGUUCGAGAGAGGUGAGUGGAAUUCCGAGUGUAGAGGUGAAAUUCGUAGAUAUUCGGAGGAACACCAGUGGCGAAGGCGGCUCACUGGCUCGAUACUGACGCUGAGGUGCGAAAGUGUGGGGAGCAAACAGGAUUAGAUACCCGAGUAGUC